This 375-nucleotide ribosomal RNA is filed under the name Triticum aestivum (bread wheat). Its description in RNAcentral is "partial small subunit ribosomal RNA". Lineage: Eukaryota; Viridiplantae; Streptophyta; Magnoliopsida; Poales; Poaceae. The record is from RNAcentral.
AUGGAAGUGGAGCCUUUGUUCGAGGACGAGCUCGCCAACCAAGCCGCCGGUCAUAAGCCGAAGCGCAAGAGCAAGCGCACGAAGGCGUACACGGCGGCCAAGGACAAGCUUCUUUGCGAGUGUUGGCGAGACAUUGGGCAAGACCCCAAGACGGGUGCCGAGCAAAAGCAUUCAACCUUUUGGAUUCGUUUCCACCGAGAGUUUCAUGAGCGCAAGAAGUUUCCACCUUACCAAUUUGUGAGCACACGCGGAUGGGUCUCCAUUUCCAAGCGGUGGAGGGUGAUCCAACAAGAGUGCAACAAGUUUUGCGCCACUCUUGAGAGCGUCAAGGCCCGCCCCGUGAGCGGCAUCUGCAUGAAAGACAUGGUAUGCUAG